Molecule: ribosomal RNA, 460 nt
Filed under: uncultured bacterium
Lineage: Bacteria
Description: bacterial SSU rRNA
Rfam family: Bacterial small subunit ribosomal RNA
Source: RNAcentral
GAUGAACGCUAGCGGCAGGCUUAACACAUGCAAGUCGAGGGGUAGAAGGAGCUUGCUCCUUUGAGACCGGCGCACGGGUGCGUAACGCGUAUGCAAUCUACCUUUUGCAGAGGAUAGCCCAGAGAAAUUUGGAUUAAUACCUCAUAGUAUGUGAGGAUGGCAUCAUUUUCACAUUAAAGUCACAACGGCAAAGAUGAGCAUGCGUCCCAUUAGCUAGUUGGUAAGGUAACGGCUUACCAAGGCUACGAUGGGUAGGGGUCCUGAGAGGGAGAUCCCCCCACACUGGUACUGAGACACGGACCAGACUCCUACGGGAGGCAGCAGUGAGGAAUAUUGGACAAUGGGCGCAAGCCUGAUCCAGCCAUGCCGCGUGCAGGAUGACGGUCCUAAUGGAUUGUAAACUGCUUUUGUACAGGAAGAAACACUACUUCGUGAAGUAGCUUGACGGUACUGUAAGAAU